CCGGGGUACACGAGCGGCGAACGGGUGAGUAACACGUGGGUGACCUGCCCUCAGCUCUGGGAUAAGCCCGGGAAACUGGGUCUAAUACCGGAUAUGACCUUUCCUCGCAUGGGGUUUGGUGGAAAGUUUUUCGGCUGGGGAUGGGCCCGCGGCCUAUCAGCUUGUUGGUGGGGUGAUGGCCUACCAAGGCGACGACGGGUAGCCGGCCUGAGAGGGCGACCGGCCACACUGGGACUGAGACACGGCCCAG
Molecule: ribosomal RNA, 250 nt
Filed under: uncultured bacterium
Lineage: Bacteria
Description: partial 16S ribosomal RNA
Rfam family: Bacterial small subunit ribosomal RNA
Source: RNAcentral